AUUGAACGCUGGCGGCAGGCCUAACACAUGCAAGUCGAACGGUAACAGGAAGCAGCUUGCUGCUUUGCUGACGAGUGGCGGACGGGUGAGUAAUGUCUGGGAAACUGCCUGAUGGAGGGGGAUAACUACUGGAAACGGUAGCUAAUACCGCAUAACGUCGCAAGACCAAAGGGGGGGACCUUCGGGCCUCUUGCCAUCGGAUGUGCCCAGAUGGGAUUAGCUAGUAGGUGGGGUAACGGCUCACCUAGGCGACGAUCCCUAGCUGGUCUGAGAGGAUGACCAGCCACACUGGAACUGAGACACGGUCCAGACUCCUACGGGAGGCAGCAGUGGGGAAUAUUGCACAAUGGGCGCAAGCCUGAUGCAGCCAUGCCGCGUGUAUGAAGAAGGCCUUCGGGUUGUAAAGUACUUUCAGCGGGGAGGAAGGGAGUAAAGUUAAUACCUUGGCUCAUUGACGUUACCCGCAGAAGAAGCACCGGCUAACUCCGUG
This 490-nucleotide ribosomal RNA is filed under the name uncultured bacterium. RNAcentral's name for it is "partial 16S ribosomal RNA". It matches the Rfam family "Bacterial small subunit ribosomal RNA", at positions 30 to 507 of the family's 1533-position model. The record is from RNAcentral.